UACGGAGGAUCCGAGCGUUAUCCGGAUUUAUUGGGUUUAAAGGGUGCGUAGGCGGCCUGUUAAGUCAGGGGUGAAAGACGGUAGCUCAACUAUCGCAGUGCCCUUGAUACUGAUGGGCUUGAAUGUACUAGAGGUAGGCGGAAUGUGACAAGUAGCGGUGAAAAUGCAUAGAUAUGUCACAGAACACCAAUUGCGAAGGCAGCUUACUAUGGUAUGAUUGACGCUGAGGCACGAAAAGCGUGGGGGAUCAAAACAGG
Molecule: ribosomal RNA, 257 nt
Filed under: uncultured bacterium
Lineage: Bacteria
Description: partial 16S ribosomal RNA
Rfam family: Bacterial small subunit ribosomal RNA
Source: RNAcentral